RNAcentral lists this ribosomal RNA (468 nucleotides) under uncultured bacterium. RNAcentral describes it as "partial 16S ribosomal RNA". It matches the Rfam family "Bacterial small subunit ribosomal RNA", at positions 28 to 507 of the family's 1533-position model. The record is from RNAcentral.
GACGAACGCUGGCGGCGUGCUUAACACAUGCAAGUCGAACGGAAAGGCCCUGCUUUUGUGGGGUGCUCGAGUGGCGAACGGGUGAGUAACACGUGAGUAACCUGCCCUUGACUUUGGGAUAACUUCAGGAAACUGGGGCUAAUACCGGAUAGGAGCUCCUGCUGCAUGGUGGGGGUUGGAAAGUUUCGGCGGUUGGGGAUGGACUCGCGGCUUAUCAGCUUGUUGGUGGGGUAGUGGCUUACCAAGGCUUUGACGGGUAGCCGGCCUGAGAGGGUGACCGGCCACAUUGGGACUGAGAUACGGCCCAGACUCCUGCGGGAGGCAGCAGUGGGGAAUAUUGCACAAUGGGCGGAAGCCUGAUGCGGCAACGCCGCGUGCGGGAUGACGGCCUUCGGGUUGUAAACCGCUUUCGCCUGUGACGAAGCGUGAGUGACGGUAAUGGGUAAAGAAGCACCGGCUAACUACGUG